This is a long non-coding RNA of Fundulus heteroclitus (mummichog), 439 nucleotides long. RefSeq lists it as uncharacterized. NCBI's taxonomy places the organism in Eukaryota, Metazoa, Chordata, Actinopteri, Cyprinodontiformes, Fundulidae. The transcript has 4 exons. The record is from RefSeq and is a predicted model, not a curated record.
UUAGGUUGGAGGUGGCAUUGAAGCUUUUACCAGGAAGUCAACUGGUGAAAGGUUGAGGGUACCUCAUACAGGUCUCCACCCACCAAGGGACCACCAGAAAUGCCCAAACACUGAAAGGUUAAGGAGUGGGUUCCAAGACGACACUGAGGAGGAGAGAUAGGAGAUCAUCUUGUGAUGUUUGAGAAUUUGUAAUGAAGACUUAGAGGAGGAUAGAGUCUUACUACUGUUGAGUAAUCACACCCUGAAAGCAUUGAGUGGGGAGCUAUUGUACAAAGCCUCCUGGCUUUAUGCUGUUUCCCAACUCCCCAUUUUGUGGCACUACUAUUACUGGCAUAAUUGCAUCCUCAGACCACCUAGAGAUGUGCCCUUGUUGCAAAAUCCAUUAGAACAUCACAACACUCUGCCCCUGGGACAAGGACAGAGGAUUCCAGCAAGGCUU